UUACACAGGACCCGAAAAUGCUGACUGGGAACAAGUGAGCAGUGCCUUGCUCUGUGUUUGCACAGCUAUGAGCAACAAAAUCAAACUGUAGGUUUACUUGGGUAAAGAAAUGAUCAUGAGUGUGUUGCAACACACUAGUCCUACACAAACAAGUGGAAGUAGAAUUUUUUUGUGUGAACUUUUAGAUGAAAUGGUGAUUUCAAUUAAAGAAAGUCAGCAUUUUAAAGCCUUCUGCAUAACACUUUUUUAUUCAGGGUAAAUUAGUCAUACUAAAUAGUUGUUAUGCUGUAUAUUGAUUGGUAUUUACUAAGGCUAUAAAAAUAAUGAAAAGAUUGAACUGGUAUUAGUUUUAAACGGCGAACCAAGUAUAAUUCUGUAUCUGUAUGAAAGUAUGAAACUCUAUGCUAUGUACAAUUUAAACGUCAGUUUUCCGUAUAGCGGUAUUGCCAAAGGGCAUUACAAUAUAUUACAGAAAAAAUAACACUACAACAGUCCUUAUAUCGACUAAAGAGAAAAACUCAACAAUACAAAGGCUUAUAUAUCCAUCAUAGAACUGCAAAAAUAAAAUAUAUGCACACAGCACACUGAUCAGUGUAUUCAUCCACCUAGCUACUCCUAUUGCUCUCGUAUGCCACCUUGCUGUUAAGGUAUCUCAAUGGUAUCUGGUAUGUACUUAUUAGGCACUCAGUCUAAACAAUGUGUACUUUAGUGGUCUACAUACCAAACGUACAAUACAAUAGGCACUGAACUUCACAGUUCUGAAAAAGUAAACUUUAAAGACAAAAAAAAUGCUGACACUGUAUCCAUGAGUUUAGUGUGUAUUGUUCACAGAUAGAAAAGUGCAGCCGAGUUUGUUGCAGACAAGUCCUUGGACACAAACAAGAUUCAGAAUAUUAUUAAAAAGUACAAUGAGGGGAAAAAAUAGUAAACAUGCUAAUAUUUUCCACAGCUACAGACAGAUGUAUCUUGUAUCUUAGAAACAAAACAAAGAUGCUUUUUUCAAUCUUAAAUGAAUGUCUUUGUGUUUUAUUUGGUAGGCUAUCAUCUUAUUAAAUAUGUUUGGGUUUAUGGUUGGGGUAAAAAAUAUCAAUUUUAUCUUUAACAAUGAUAUUAAAUUAUAAACAGCUUGAAGCAGGCUUCUCUUAACAUGUUGAGAAGUUUACAGAGCUGUGAUAUUGAUAUGUCAAAGAUUCGUAGAUUGAUAUAGCUGCAGGAACUUUACAUGGAAAUGGGUGUAAUAGCCAAACCAAAAUCAUUCAAGUCAACAUCAACAUGCUAUGUGCUGGUAAUACUGCCACUGGUGACCAGUGAAAAUUUUGGUCUUAAAAUGUUCCUUACGUCUUCCUGAUACCCACUGUAUAAUUUUUUUUCGAAAAAAAUCGGGCGUUCGUGUCGAAAAUUAACUUUGAAAAUGCUCGAAAACGUGCUUCGCCACCGUAAUUCGCCUGACUUGCAUAACGUUAACGAUUUAUUACAUCACAGUAGUGACAUAUUUCGUUUGUACAGCACGUUAUAAUCUUGUUUUCACACUGUUUUUUGCUAGGGAAAAUCCCAAGC
Ciona intestinalis (vase tunicate) is the source of this 1557-nucleotide non-coding RNA. NCBI's taxonomy places the organism in Eukaryota, Metazoa, Chordata, Ascidiacea, Phlebobranchia, Cionidae. The record is from RefSeq and is a predicted model, not a curated record.